RNAcentral lists this transfer RNA (71 nucleotides) under Loxodonta africana (African savanna elephant). It matches the Rfam family "tRNA". From Rfam's summary of the family: Transfer RNA (tRNA) molecules are approximately 80 nucleotides in length. Their secondary structure includes four short double-helical elements and three loops (D, anti-codon, and T loops). The record is from Rfam by way of RNAcentral. Lineage: Eukaryota; Metazoa; Chordata; Mammalia; Proboscidea; Elephantidae.
GCACUGGUGGUUCACUGGUAGAAUUCUCACCUUCCAUGCAGGAGACCUGGGUUAAAUUCCCAGCCAACGCA